GUAUUUUUCAUGAAAAUGAACUAGUUAUGAGUAAAUAAUUUGUUUAUAAUUUUUGCACAUUUUCUUUUUUUUGGUAAGUUGCCUUUCUAUAUCUAAGAUGUGACGCUCCUAAAAUAGGUCCACACAACUCAUUCUGAGUCGCCAAAUACAUGAUACAAAAUUCAAAUACAAACUUCAUUUAUACAACUAUUAAUUAUCGUGUAAAAUACGACAAAACAUAAGCUGUGAGUUUCAAUACAAAUAUUAUCUUGUAGACAAUAUCCAAACUCAAAUAAAGUCUUCAUUACAAU
Molecule: long non-coding RNA, 290 nt
Filed under: Panax ginseng (ginseng)
Lineage: Eukaryota; Viridiplantae; Streptophyta; Magnoliopsida; Apiales; Araliaceae
Description: long non-coding RNA (PGIN_LNC003970)
Source: RNAcentral